AAACGACUAAACCUUUUUUUUUCAAAAACAGUUUCUGAAACAUUUUCUGAAAUGAUUUGAACAUGGAUUUUCUUUGAUAAAUUUAAUUCAUUUGAAAAAGUUGUCCUUCAUGGAAAGGGCGGGUGGUGGAGGGUCCAAAUAAAUAAAACAUAUAUCUAUAUAAAAUCUAAUAAAAACCUACAAAAACAUAAAAUGUAAUAAAAUAUCAACAAAUUCAUCUUCAUUAUCCCCCACGUUGCUCCACCUCCUUGUGGGAGGAGCCAGGCGGAGCCACGGAUCAGACUCCUCCAUCUCAUCCCACCAACUCUGUCAGUCCACCAGGCCACACCAGUAACAGCCAUAUCUUCACGUCACAAAGCUUCAGUACCAUCUGAAUGCGUUGAAGCACCAUCCAGCCUCCUGUUGCAACCUCAUUGUGAAACAGCAUUGACCCGUGAUCACCACCAACCAGAGCUCCACAGCAGUUGCCUUGGACACCCAGUGAAACAGCACUGACCCGUGAUCACCACCAACCAGGGAUCCACAGUGGUAGCCUUGGACACCCAGGCUUCACUCAAGAUCAACAAAAGGACAUUUGGAAGGAUCCCAUUGAGCAAAGUAAACAACGAUAUGUUUUUUAAUGUCUUUUGCUCGUAGGGAUGACUUCCCGAGAGAGCACACCAGGCAGCAUGGAGCACUUUGAUGUGAUUGGCUGUUCAGCAGGAAGUUUCAUCUGGCUACACAGACGGGAUGAUGAAUCUGACAGAGAAUGUUUUUUUUAAAUAAAUAUUAUAAAAAGAUGGAAAGUA
Molecule: non-coding RNA, 788 nt
Organism: Oncorhynchus mykiss (rainbow trout)
Lineage: Eukaryota; Metazoa; Chordata; Actinopteri; Salmoniformes; Salmonidae
Source: RefSeq, a predicted model, not a curated record